UACGAAGGGUGCAAGCGUUACUCGGAAUUACUGGGCGUAAAGCGUGCGUAGGUGGUGAGUUAAGUCUGUCGUGAAAGCCCCGGGCUCAACCUGGGAAUGGCGAUGGAUACUGGCUCGCUAGAGUGCGGUAGAGGAGAGUGGAAUUCCCGGUGUAGCAGUGAAAUGCGUAGAUAUCGUGAGGAACACCAGAGGCGAAGGCGACUUCCUGGACAAUUGCUGACGCUCAGGCACGAAAGCGUGGGGAGCAAAAGGG
RNAcentral lists this ribosomal RNA (253 nucleotides) under uncultured bacterium. RNAcentral's name for it is "partial 16S ribosomal RNA". It matches the Rfam family "Bacterial small subunit ribosomal RNA", at positions 524 to 776 of the family's 1533-position model. The record is from RNAcentral.